GAUGAACGCUAGCGGCAGGCCUAACACAUGCAAGUCGAGGGAGAAGCCCUUCGGGGCAGAAACCGGCGCACGGGUGCGUAGCGCGUAUGCAACCUACCUUUCACAGGGGGAUAGCCCGAAGAAAUUUGGAUUAAUACCCCAUAAUAUUAUUGGAUGGCAUCAUUUGAUAAUUAAAAUUACGAUGGUGAAAGAUGGGCAUGCGUCCUAUUAGCUAGUUGGAGUGGUAACGGCACCCCAAGGCUACGAUAGGUAGGGGUCCUGAGAGGGAGAUCCCCCACACUGGUACUGAGACAGGGACCAGACUCCUACGGGAGGCAGCAGUGAGGAAUAUUGGUCAAUGGUCGGAAGACUGAACCAGCCAUGCCGCGUGCAGGAAGAAUGCCUUAUGGGUUGUAAACUGCUUUUAUAUGGGAAGAAUAAGGAGUACGUGUACUUUGA
Molecule: ribosomal RNA, 438 nt
Filed under: Capnocytophaga granulosa
Lineage: Bacteria; Pseudomonadati; Bacteroidota; Flavobacteriia; Flavobacteriales; Flavobacteriaceae
Description: bacterial SSU rRNA
Rfam family: Bacterial small subunit ribosomal RNA
Source: RNAcentral